UCUUCUGAAGGAACAAUAGGCCUGUUGUAAACCAGGGGGGCCUCGGCACAUGGCAAGUGCUCGGGGGAUGGCAGCUAGAGAUGAUGUUAUGUAUGCUCUUUUAUAUUUUGCCCCACAUAAGCAAGUGCUUAACUGCUGGUUAUUUGCUAUACUGAGUAUCAAAGAGCUGCAUUUUCUCCAAGGGACCUUCCUGGGAUCCUCGUUCACUUAAUCUUUCUUUGAAAGAGACCUGGGGCUUUCGGGGACCUGGGUGGCUCAUUCAGGCUCCUCCCUGCACCCCACAGGACAUCCCUUUGGGAGCCCGUGUGUGCAGAAGACUAUGCUGAGCACUGAUGGGGGUAAAAGAUGGGAAUCCAGCUCACUGUAAUCGCGGAUACCGUAAGCCAGCACCCGGCGGAGGGCUGUCCGUGUAGUGGCCCCUAAACUGUGACUCUGAGACAGAUGGCAGUGCAGGGCCCAGGACCAAGGACAGAAACAAGGAAGCACUCAAAGGCUAACGGGGGAGUAUCAGCAGGACACAGGAGCUGGCCGAAAGGAGCUCCCAUGGGCCGAACUCUGGAUCAUCUGAGUAUCAACAUCUGAUACUGCAUAUUGCGACACAUUUUGAGAAACUGAAUCUAAUGGCAGCUCCUUCUACGAAUCCAGGAUGGCUAUAACCGUGAAAACAAUCGCAAUGUAACAUCAGCCAAAAACUGUCCUGGCUCCAAGAUCUCCAAGUCUUCAUAUAUUUAUUCAGAGUAUAAUAAUUUUAUACAGCAUUUCAGAAAUAGUGUACUUUACCUUGGGAGGAAGUGUAUGGUUCUGUAUAAUGUCCAUUAUAAUGCAGCUGGGGUUGGGGAGGCAUCACAUAGGACUGGGGCUUAGGCUAAGGAAUGGAAAGUUGGAAACAGAGUUAAAAUACAUUGCUACCUAUGUAAUAUAUGUAAAGUAAGUCUCCGCUGGUUUCUUUCUUUCCAUUAAAAAACUUCUAAGGAAGUUAGAUAUAUUAUAUAGAAAAUACACAUGGAGACCCUGUAGCUCUUACCAUAUUUAUCACUUUCAGUGUCUCCCAGAAUGACAAUGCCAAGCCCUGUACAGUGGUAUCAGACAUCAGAGAUCACAAGAAAACAAGCUGUAUCCAGAAAGUUAAGAGCAAGAAGGAACAAAGUUUCCUGAAUUCUUAUAUAAACAUGUGAAUAUAAAAAGCUUUUAUGUAGUAUAUUUAAUCUUCUCAGGCAAAAUUAGCUAGUAUUUUAAAGAUCUACUAACUUCUGAUUACUCUUUGCUAAUAGUCGAAAAUGGUAGUAUUAGGUUGGACCUAGUAUUUAAAUAUGUGUAAUAACAUAAAGAUUACAUAAAUAUUAGGCUCAGCCUACUGCCGUUUCUUUGGUUAAAAACAAUCUAAUACCAGCACACUUUUGUGGUCCAUCUAAAAAUUAACACUAUCCAAAGGAUCUUUUAUUAAGGAAGAUGACAUCACUAAAAGAAAAAAAAGCAAUCAUAAUUUUCCUUCUUUCUUACCAGAGACACCCUUGAAGACGACCUCCUCCGAAUUGGGUUCACUGUGACAGUCUGGGUUUGCCUGUAAAAAUAAGACAUGUCACUGAGACAUACGUACACAUAGUUUUCCUAAUUUUGCCAAAGUAAAUCAAUAAGAAGGUAAAAUGAUAAAUCUGCUAAAGUAAAAAGAAGAUAAAACUAACCCAAUCAUAAAUUAGAGAAAAGGAAGGAGACUCUCUUGUCCUCACUUGGGGCCUCCCCACUUUGUGGCUACCCAGAAACCCCCCUCACCCCCCCUCCAGGGUUUGAGCCUCCUGAUGCAGCAACAUCUGCCUGGACAAUGAGAGGAUCAGCAGGCUGAAGAUCUAUCUAAACACGAGACCAAUAAGAGAAAUUACAAAGAAAAAAAAAAACGAGUGCUCAUCAGGAACUUAACAUCAGGUUGUUGCUAAAGAAGAAGUGUCUCUUUUCCAAAGAAUAUUCCAUCUGCCAGAAUUUAUGCAACAAUGACACAACCGAUGUGAAUUCUGUCGGGCUGCAAGAAUACCUGUUAACAACCACCAAAGCGUUAUCGGUCCUAAUUGAGGCCUCCUCGGGGAAACAAGGUUUAGGCAGAACUGGGUCCUCUGAAGCUCGCAUUUAGUCCACUGUCCAAACAGACUGAACUUUUAAGACUCUGGGGGCAGUUACUGUAUUGAUGGGUGCUGCUAAAAAUGAGACAGCCGAAGAACUCUUAGGGGAAAAAAAAAAAUCACUGGAAUGUGUGCACCGGAGAAGACAAACUAAGUAUAUGCUGCUGGCCCAAGGGAGGAAUCACUGAAGAAAUGAUGGUUCAAUAUUAUAAAUACUCUUAAACUUAUGAAAAGGCUGUGUUCUGACAGAGUGCGUAUCUACUGCUUGGAUCUCAGAACACUACUUCUGCAUGAAAAUAAUGUCACACGUGAUUAGGUAACCAGGCCAGUCCAGGAGAGCCCCAAAUGUGACCGCUGUGGACUAGUAGCACCGCUGAAUCUGGCCACCAGGGGGAGCACAUUCAUGCACAAAUACAUCCGGAGCUGCAAGCCAGCAGCCGGCAGAGAAAGCAGGGCCCAUAUGCACAGAGAAAGCAGGGCUCCCCCUCCCGGUCAGUUAGUGCUUUCCACAUCCCACCACCAGAGGAACAGUGGGACUCAGGGAAAAACACACCUAUGUGGUGUCCAGGGAGGAAGGGAGGGGAGGAGGACUGGGGCUGAGGGGCUAAUCUUUAGCUGGUUCCCCUGCAGGGUCAUCCCUGGUCAUUUCCUUUUCCUUCCUGAGUCCCAAAGACGGGCCUGCCCUGUGCAUGGUUAUUCCUAACCAGUUUCUCUUCACACCUUGGCUCCCUAUAAAACAGAAAGCACUUC
This is a long non-coding RNA of Neofelis nebulosa (Clouded leopard), 2861 nucleotides long. RefSeq lists it as uncharacterized. The record is from RefSeq and is a predicted model, not a curated record. Lineage: Eukaryota; Metazoa; Chordata; Mammalia; Carnivora; Felidae. The transcript is spliced from 9 exons.